UGUGAUCUCAAAUCAGACAAGACGACCCGCUGAAUUUAAG
This 40-nucleotide ribosomal RNA is filed under the name Sparlingia pertusa. Its description in RNAcentral is "partial large subunit ribosomal RNA". Lineage: Eukaryota; Rhodophyta; Florideophyceae; Rhodymeniales; Rhodymeniaceae. RNAcentral also lists the same sequence under 2 other names. The record is from RNAcentral.